Non-coding RNA from Podarcis lilfordi (Lilford's wall lizard), 67 nucleotides. Lineage: Eukaryota; Metazoa; Chordata; Lepidosauria; Squamata; Lacertidae. The record is from the annotation of a GenBank genome assembly.
GCCAUAGCUCAGUGGUAGAGCAUCUGCUUUACUUGCAGAAGGUCCCAGGUUCAAGUUAGGGCAGGCA